Molecule: ribosomal RNA, 600 nt
Filed under: Chaetomium globosum
Lineage: Eukaryota; Fungi; Ascomycota; Sordariomycetes; Sordariales; Chaetomiaceae
Description: eukaryotic LSU rRNA
Rfam family: 5.8S ribosomal RNA (bases 230-383)
Source: RNAcentral
GGAAGUAAAAAUCGUAACAAGGUCUCCGUUGGUGAACCAGCGGAGGGAUCAUUACAGAGUUGCAAAACUCCCUAAACCAUUGUGAACGUUACCUAUACCGUUGCUUCGGCGGGCGGCCCCGGGGUUUACCCCCCGGGCGCCCCUGGGCCCCACCGCGGGCGCCCGCCGGAGGUCACCAAACUCUUGAUAAUUUAUGGCCUCUCUGAGUCUUCUGUACUGAAUAAGUCAAAACUUUCAACAACGGAUCUCUUGGUUCUGGCAUCGAUGAAGAACGCAGCGAAAUGCGAUAAGUAAUGUGAAUUGCAGAAUUCAGUGAAUCAUCGAAUCUUUGAACGCACAUUGCGCCCGCCAGCAUUCUGGCGGGCAUGCCUGUUCGAGCGUCAUUUCAACCAUCAAGCCCCCGGGCUUGUGUUGGGGACCUGCGGCUGCCGCAGGCCCUGAAAAGCAGUGGCGGGCUCGCUGUCGCACCGAGCGUAGUAGCAUACAUCUCGCUCUGGUCGCGCCGCGGGUUCCGGCCGUUAAACCACCUUUUUAACCCAAGGUUGACCUCGGAUCAGGUAGGAAGACCCGCUGAACUUAAGCAUAUCAAUAAGCGGAGGA